RNAcentral lists this non-coding RNA (50 nucleotides) under unclassified sequences. RNAcentral's name for it is "L31-Actinobacteria ribosomal protein leader". It matches the Rfam family "L31-Actinobacteria ribosomal protein leader". The record is from RNAcentral.
CCGGCUCCGGUUCACGUCCCCAGCACCUGGUGGGAGACGACCCGGCGGCC